Molecule: small nucleolar RNA, 103 nt
Filed under: Pongo abelii (Sumatran orangutan)
Lineage: Eukaryota; Metazoa; Chordata; Mammalia; Primates; Hominidae
Description: Small nucleolar RNA U13 (ENSPPYG00000028127.2)
Rfam family: Small nucleolar RNA U13
Source: Rfam by way of RNAcentral
AUCCUUUUGUAGUUCAUAAACAGGAUGAUAGGGUUUUCACAUUUACUGUGAGAUGUGCUUCCCUCCAACCUUGUUAUAAUGUUGAUGCAUUACCCAUCUAAUG